UAGCGUAUAUUAAAGUUGUUGCAGUUAAAAAGCUCGUAGUUGGACUUCUGGUGGGAGCGACCGGUCCCGCGCUCUGCGUGGGUACUUGAGUCGUCUCCGGCCAUCCUUGGGGAGAGCCAGUCUGGCAUUAAGUUGUCGGGCUGGGGAUGCCCAUCGUUUACUGUGAAAAAAUUAGAGUGUUCAAAGCAGGCUUAUGCCGCUGAAUAUAUUAGCAUGGAAUAAUAAGAUAGGACCUUGGUACUAUUUUGUUGGUUUGUGCACCGAGGUAAUGAUUAAUAGGGACAGUUGGGGGUAUUCGUAUUCCAUUGUCAGAGGUGAAAUUCUUGGAUUUCUGGAAGACGAACUACUGCGAAAGCAUUUACCAAGGAUGUUUUCAUUAAUCAAGAACGAAAGUUAGGGGAUCGAAGAUGAUUAGAU
Molecule: ribosomal RNA, 417 nt
Filed under: Porosira pseudodenticulata
Lineage: Eukaryota; Bacillariophyta; Thalassiosirophyceae; Thalassiosirales; Thalassiosiraceae
Description: SSU rRNA
Rfam family: Eukaryotic small subunit ribosomal RNA
Source: RNAcentral